RNAcentral lists this transfer RNA (88 nucleotides) under Planctomycetota bacterium. Its description in RNAcentral is "Planctomycetes bacterium (bioreactor metagenome) tRNA-Leu". It matches the Rfam family "tRNA". From Rfam's summary of the family: Transfer RNA (tRNA) molecules are approximately 80 nucleotides in length. Their secondary structure includes four short double-helical elements and three loops (D, anti-codon, and T loops). Lineage: Bacteria; Pseudomonadati; Planctomycetota. The record is from RNAcentral.
GCCCGGGUGGUGGAAUUGGCAGACACGCCAGCUUGAGGGGCUGGUGGCCCUCAAAGCCGUGCAGGUUCAAAUCCUGUCCCGGGCACCA